AGCGAGGUGGUCGAGUUGUAGAUGGUGGGCUGUAAACCUACUUACGGGAUUUUUUCCCUCUUGCUA
This 66-nucleotide transfer RNA is filed under the name Placopecten magellanicus (sea scallop). Its description in RNAcentral is "tRNA-Tyr". The record is from RNAcentral. Lineage: Eukaryota; Metazoa; Mollusca; Bivalvia; Pectinida; Pectinidae.